Molecule: ribosomal RNA, 1233 nt
Filed under: Triticum aestivum (bread wheat)
Lineage: Eukaryota; Viridiplantae; Streptophyta; Magnoliopsida; Poales; Poaceae
Description: partial small subunit ribosomal RNA
Source: RNAcentral
AUGGCGAGCGCCGGCGCGGCGAUCGGUGCGCGCGCGGCCCGCGCCUGCGACGGCUGCAUGCGGCGGCGGGCGCGGUGGCACUGCGCCGCGGACGACGCGUACCUGUGCCAGGCGUGCGACGCCUCCGUCCACUCGGCCAACCCGCUCGCGCGGCGCCACCACCGGGUGCGCCUCCCCUCCUCGUCCUCGCCGGCCGCCACCUCCUCCCUUCAGCACGCCGACCCCGACGAGCCCGCGUGGCUGCACGGGCUCAAGCGCCGGCCGCGCACGCCGCGGUCGAAGCCCGGGAUGGUGGGCAAGCACGGCGCGCCCGCCACCGCGAAGGCCGCGGCUGCCUCGGCGGUCCCCGAUCUCGAGGCGGAGGACUCCGGCUCCGGCAUCGUGGGUGACAACGACGAAGGCCACGGCGUGGAGGUCGACGACGAGGAUCUCCUGUACCGCGUCCCGGUGUUCGACCCCAUGCUCGCCGAGCUCUACAACCCCGUGCCGGUCGACGAGUUCCGGGAGCCCCUCGAGCAGAAGCCUUCCGUCUGCUGCUUCUCGUCGCUUGCCAAUCAGCCGUCGUCGGAGUACGCCUCGGGCGUGGCGGAGGCGGCCGACGGGUUCUCCGGGUUCGACGUCGUCCCGGACAUGGAGCUCGCCAGCUUCGCCGCGGACAUGGAGAGCCUGCUCAUGGGAGGAGUAGAAGAGGGGUUCGACGACCUGCGGUUCUUGGACGAAGAGAAGCCCCAGCUGAACCUUGACUUCGACAUGGCGGACUUCGAUGAUCAGAGCACCGCGGCGCCUGCGCCGGAGCAAGAGUUAGAGGACAGGAAAAGGAAGCGGUCGGACUCGGGGAUGAUACUUAAGCUCGACUACGAGAGGGUUAUCGACUCCUGGGCCCAUGACGGCGGCUCGCCGUGGUUCUACGGCGAGCGCCCCCACAUCGACCCCAGUGAUGAUUCCUGGCUGGACUUGCCGGCGGGGAGCCGUGGAUUCGGGCUCGGCGCAGCGGUGACGGCGGUGACCGGCGGCGAGCGGGAGGCGCGGGUGUCGCGGUACCGGGAGAAGCGGCGGACGCGGCUGUUCGCCAAGAAGAUCCGGUACGAGGUGCGCAAGCUCAACGCCGAGAAGCGGCCGCGGAUGAAGGGCCGGUUCGUCAAGCGCACCGCGCUGCCACCGCUGCCGCCGCGGCCGCCGAUGGUGCUCGCGGGCCACGGCCACGGCGGCGCGCACGGGCGCUUCCGUUUUUGA